GAUGAAGAACGUAGCGAAAUGCGAUAAGUAAUGUGAAUUGCAGAAUUCAGUGACUCAUCGAAUCUUUGAACGCACAUUGCGCCCGCCAGUAUUCUGGCGGGCAUGCCUGUUCGAGCGUCAUUUCAACCAUCAAGCCCCCGGCUUGUGUUGGGGACCUGCGGCUGCCGCAGGCCCUGAAAAGCAGUGGCGGGCUCGCUGUCACACCGAGCGUAGUAGCAUACAUCUCGCUCUGGGCGUGCUGCGGGUUCCGGCCGUUAAACCACCUUCAUAACCCAAGGUUGACCUCGGAUCAGGUAGGAAGACCCGCUGAACUUAAGCAUAUCAAUAAGCGGAGGA
Molecule: unclassified non-coding RNA, 336 nt
Filed under: soil metagenome
Description: partial contains 5.8S ribosomal RNA, internal transcribed spacer 2, and large subunit ribosomal RNA
Rfam family: 5.8S ribosomal RNA (bases 1-120)
Source: RNAcentral